Molecule: unclassified non-coding RNA, 215 nt
Filed under: fungal sp.
Lineage: Eukaryota; Fungi
Description: partial internal transcribed spacer region
Rfam family: Eukaryotic small subunit ribosomal RNA (bases 1-46)
Source: RNAcentral
AAGUCGUAACAAGGUUUCCGUAGGUGAACCUGCGGAAGGAUCAUUACUAGAAGUUUGGCUGGGAGUUUUCCAGCCAACCUCCCACCCUUUGUGUCCAUGCCCUUGAUGUUGCUUUGGCGGGGGGGCCCCCGCCAGAGGUGUUAAACCCGUUGAAAAUGGUUAUUAACUGGUCCACAAACUUAACAAAACUUUCAACAACGGAUCUCUUGGUUCCG